This 253-nucleotide ribosomal RNA is filed under the name uncultured bacterium. RNAcentral's name for it is "partial 16S ribosomal RNA". It matches the Rfam family "Bacterial small subunit ribosomal RNA", at positions 524 to 776 of the family's 1533-position model. The record is from RNAcentral.
UACGUAGGGCGCAAGCGUUGUCCGGAAUUAUUGGGCGUAAAGAGCUCGUAGGCGGCCAGUUGCGUCUGCUGUGAAAUCCCGGGGCUCAACCCCGGGCGUGCAGUGGAUACGGGCUGGCUAGAGGCAGGCAGGGGAGAACGGAAUUCCUGGUGUAGCGGUGAAAUGCGCAGAUAUCAGGAGGAACACCGGUGGCGAAGGCGGUUCUCUGGGCAUGUCCUGACGCUGAGGAGCGAAAGUGUGGGGAGCGAACAGG